AGCGAACGCUGGCGGCAGGCUUAACACAUGCAAGUCGAGCGGGCCUUUCGGGGUCAGCGGCGGACGGGUGAGUAACGCGUGGGAACGUGCCCUCUGGUUCGGAAUAACUCAGGGAAACUUGAGCUAAUACCGGAUACGCCCUUUUGGGGAAAGGCUUGCUGCCGGAGGAUCGGCCCGCGUCUGAUUAGCUAGUUGGUGAGGUAACGGCUCACCAAGGCGACGAUCAGUAGCUGGUCUGAGAGGAUGAUCAGCCACACUGGGACUGGGACACGGCCCAAACUCCUACGGAAGGCAGCAGUGGGGAUUAUUGGACAAUGGGCGCAAGCCGAAUCCAGCCAGGCCGCGUAAGUGAUGAAGGCCUUAGGGUUGUAAGCCUCUUUUAUCCGGACGAUAAUGACGGUACCGGAGGAAUAAGCCCCGGCUAACUUCGUG
RNAcentral lists this ribosomal RNA (432 nucleotides) under uncultured bacterium. Its description in RNAcentral is "partial 16S ribosomal RNA". It matches the Rfam family "Bacterial small subunit ribosomal RNA", at positions 29 to 507 of the family's 1533-position model. The record is from RNAcentral.